This 263-nucleotide ribosomal RNA is filed under the name uncultured bacterium. Its description in RNAcentral is "partial 16S ribosomal RNA". It matches the Rfam family "Bacterial small subunit ribosomal RNA", at positions 793 to 1055 of the family's 1533-position model. The record is from RNAcentral.
GUCCACGCCGUAAACGAUGGGCGCUAGGUGUGGGAGGUGUCGACUCCUCCCGUGCCGAAGCUAACGCAUUAAGCGCCCCGCCUGUGGAGUACGGCCGCAAGGCUAAAACUCAAAGGAAUUGACGGGGGCCCGCACAAGCAGCGGAGCAUGUUGUUUAAUUCGACGCAACGCGAAGAACCUUACCAGGGCUUGACAUGCAUCGGAAAACCGUGGAAACACGGUCCCCCGCAAGGGUCGAUGCACAGGUGGUGCAUGGCUGUCGU